CUCCCCCUGCUCUCUCCUCCCCAUUCUCCUCCUUGCAGAGAAAUCUUCCAGGUCAACACAGCAGCCUUGCCCUGAUCCCCACCGCAGGCAGGCAAAGGGUUAACAUCACCUGUACAAGAAGAUACAUUGUAUCACCAAGUGUGCAACUGUGCAGGCUUAGGAUAGACACUGCCUCAGGGACGUGGCCAUUUGUCUCUGUGUAUACCUGGUGCGUUGUCACAGUGCAUGUUGGACACACAGGCUUUUAUCACACUGUGAACAGCAGUCAGCUGGUGGACAGCUAGUGGGAAGAAGCUUUAAAUGGAUCUGGUUGACUUCGCGGGAAUGGACCUGUAGCGUCUGCCUGAUGGAAGCAGUUCAAACAGUUUGAGACCUGGGCGCUUCAGAUCUGCCACGAUUUUCUCCGCUCGCUUCCUGACCCUUGACUGGUAUAAUUUCUGGACGGGAGGGAGGUCAGCCCCAACAGUCUUUUCAGCUGUCCUCCCCACCCUUUGCAGCCUUUGUUACUCUCAUUGGCAGCUCCAUACCAGACUGUGAUUGAGGUACAUAGGACCGAUUCUACGAUUGCUGUGUAGAAGAUGAGCAGCAGCUUCUGCGGGAUGUUGAAUUUCCUGAGUUGCCUCAGAAAGAACAUCUGCUGCUGGGCCUUCUUUAUGACAGUGCUUAUGUUGGGUCCUCAUUUGAGGUGUCAGGAGAUUUUUGACCCUAGGAAUUUGAUGGAGUCGACUCACGAAACCACGCUGUCGGCUAUUACGAGUGGUUGCAUGGCACUGGGUUUCCUUCUGAAGUCCACCACCAUCUCAACUGGUUUGAGGAAGUAAAAAAAAAAAUCAAAACAGAUUUGUUCACCACGGAGCAUGUUGGGUCACUCUUCAAACAAGCAUCUGACUGGCUGCAAUUAUCUGCUGCAAAUGUAAAUCAGAAGAUGUAGAUAGCUGCUAUUGCCACAUACUGUAUAUGUUAUCUGACUUCAAGACCGCUCCUUUGUGUGAGAUGCAGUGUUCUGCUUGUGCAGGAAAA
This is a long non-coding RNA of Pseudophryne corroboree (corroboree frog), 1020 nucleotides long. RefSeq lists it as uncharacterized. The transcript has 3 exons. The record is from RefSeq and is a predicted model, not a curated record. NCBI's taxonomy places the organism in Eukaryota, Metazoa, Chordata, Amphibia, Anura, Myobatrachidae.